GUCCAGUUGAAGAGUCUCAAAUAGGACGAAACGCGCUACCUGGAU
Molecule: non-coding RNA, 45 nt
Filed under: Schistosoma haematobium
Lineage: Eukaryota; Metazoa; Platyhelminthes; Trematoda; Strigeidida; Schistosomatidae
Also listed under: 1 other name
Source: RNAcentral